GAACUGUACUGUGAUAUAUUCCAGCUGAAAAUCCCUGUCAGAAAUGCCACCAAAAUCCUUUUUGCCUCGGACGAUAAUUUGCAGAAUGUUUAGAGGAUGCAGAGAAGUGAGGGGACGGCCUGAUUUGAGUUCCACACCACAGCUCCGAAUCUUCACACCCUUCUCAGCUGCCAGGAGAACAGAACAAGGAGGAAGCACCCUCCUGCUGAGCUCCCUGGACUACCUCUCUGUGGCAUCAGGUACCAGCAGAGUUCCUGAGGGCAAGUCCAGGCGAAAAGGCUGGGAGCAUGACAGCCCCUCCUGGCAUCAGCCCACAGGUCCUCCACGUCAGGAACCUGAAGUUACCCAAGUUAAACACAGCCACAGGUGUAAACCUCACCAAAGCAAAGCAAACCAUCCUUUACGACAGAGUGUAAAGACAAAGGAGCUACAGUCCAGACAACAAUGUCUAUCUCCACAUUUUCCAAAGUUUCACCAUGC
Molecule: long non-coding RNA, 480 nt
Organism: Harpia harpyja (harpy eagle)
Lineage: Eukaryota; Metazoa; Chordata; Aves; Accipitriformes; Accipitridae
Exons: 3
Source: RefSeq, a predicted model, not a curated record